GACGAACGCUGGCGGCGUGCUUAACACAUGCAAGUCGAACGGAAAGGCCCUGCUUUUGUGGGGUGCUCGUGUGGCGAACGGGUGAGUAACACGUGAGUAACCUGCCCUUGACUUUGGGAUAACUUCAGGAAACUGGGGCUAAUACCGGAUAGGAGCUCCUGCUGCAUGGUGGGGGUUGGAAAGUUUCGGCGGUUGGGGAUGGACUCGCGGCUUAUCAGCUUGUUGGUGGGGUAGUGGCUUACCAAGGCUUUGACGGGUAGCCGGCCUGAGAGGGUGACCGGCCACAUUGGGACUGAGAUACGGCCCAGACUCCUACGGGAGGCAGCAGUGGGGAAUAUUGCACAAUGGGCGGAAGCCUGAUGCAGCAACGCCGCGUGCGGGAUGACGGCCUUCGGGUUGUAAACCGCUUUCGCCUGUGACGAAGCGUGAGUGACGGUAAUGGGUAAAGAAGCACCGGCUAACUACGUGCCAGCAGCCGCGGUGAUACGUAGGGUGCGAGCGUUGUCCGGAUUUAUUGGGCGUAAAGGGCUCGUAGGUGGUUGAUCGCGUCGGAAGUGUAAUCUUGGGGCUUAACCCUGAGCGUGCUUUCGAUACGGGUUGACUUGAGGAAGGUAGGGGAGAAUGGAAUUCCUGGUGGAGCGGUGGAAUGCGCAGAUAUCAGGAGGAACACCAGUGGCGAAGGCGGUUCUCUGGGCCUUUCCUGACGCUGAGGAGCGAAAGCGUGGGGAGCGAACAGGCUUAGAUACCCUGGUAGUCCACGCUGUAAACGGUGGGUACUAGGUGUGGGGUCCAUUCCACGGGUUCCGUGCCGUAGCUAACGCUUUAAGUACCCCGCCUGGGGAGUACGGCCGCAAGGCUAAAACUCAAAGGAAUUGACGGGGCCCCGCACAAGCGGCGGAGCAUGCGGAUUAAUUCGAUGCAACGCGUAGAACCUUACCUGGGUUUGACAUGGAUCGGGAGUGCUCAGAGAUGGGUGUGCCUCUUUUGGGGUCGGUUCACAGGUGGUGCAUGGCUGUCGUCAGCUCGUGUCGUGAGAUGUUGGGUUAAGUCCCGCAACGAGCGCAACCCUUGUUCACUGUUGCCAGCACGUUAUGGUGGGGACUCAGUGGAGACCGCCGGGGUCAACUCGGAGGAAGGUGGGGAUGACGUCAAGUCAUCAUGCCCCUUAUGUCCAGGGCUUCACGCAUGCUACAAUGGCUGGUACAGAGAGUGGCGAGCCUGUGAGGGUGAGCGAAUCCCGGAAAGCCGGUCUCAGUUCGGAUUGGGGUCUGCAACUCGACCUCAUGAAGUCGGAGUCGCUAGUAAUCGCAGAUCAGCAACGCUGCGGUGAAUACGUUCCCGGGGCU
RNAcentral lists this ribosomal RNA (1346 nucleotides) under uncultured bacterium. Its description in RNAcentral is "partial 16S ribosomal RNA". It matches the Rfam family "Bacterial small subunit ribosomal RNA", at positions 28 to 1381 of the family's 1533-position model. The record is from RNAcentral.